GUGAGGAAUUUUCCGCAAUGGGCGAAAGCCUGACGGAGCAAUGCCGCGUGAAGGAUGAAGGCCUAUGGGUUGUAAACUUCUUUUCUUAGAGAAGAAUAUUGACGGUAUCUGAGGAAUAAGCAUCGGCUAACUCUGUGCCAGCAGCCGCGGUAAGACAGAGGAUGCAAGCGUUAUCCGGAAUGAUUGGGCGUAAAGCGUCUGUAGGUGGCUUCAAAAGUCUCCUGUCAAAGAGCAGGGCUUAACACUGGGCGGGCAGGAGAAAGUCUGAGGCUAGAGUUUGGUAGGGGCAGAGGGAAUUCCCGGUGGAGCGGUGAAAUGCGUAGAGAUCAGGAAGAACACCAAAGGCGAAAGCACUCUGCUGGGCCACAACUGACACUGAGAGACGAAAGCGAGGGGAGCAAAAGGGAUUAGAUACCCGUGUAGUCC
Molecule: ribosomal RNA, 426 nt
Filed under: uncultured bacterium
Lineage: Bacteria
Description: partial 16S ribosomal RNA
Rfam family: Bacterial small subunit ribosomal RNA
Source: RNAcentral